Molecule: microRNA precursor, 89 nt
Filed under: Lepisosteus oculatus (spotted gar)
Lineage: Eukaryota; Metazoa; Chordata; Actinopteri; Semionotiformes; Lepisosteidae
Description: Danio rerio miR-30d stem-loop (ENSLOCG00000020094.1)
Rfam family: mir-30 microRNA precursor family (bases 3-79)
About the family: This family consists of the mammalian microRNA (miRNA) precursor mir-30a. Animal miRNAs are transcribed as ~70nt precursors and subsequently processed by the Dicer enzyme to give a ~22nt product.
Source: RNAcentral
AGUCUGGUACUGUAAACAUCCCCGACUGGAAGCUGUAAAAUAACAUCUGAGCUUUCAGUCAGAUGUUUGCUGCAACCGGCUGCUUUCAG